UCAGCUGUGGAAGAGACAGGCGGUGACUCCUGGAAGUAUAGUUUGCAGCCGUGCACAGAAGUGCUUUUCUUGGACAUUUUCCACAGCUACAGUCAAACUUUGACAUCAUUGCUUCAAGAAAUGGUGCAGAAUCUUCGAGGCCCCAGAAAUGUGGAGGAUCCAGUGCAGAUGCUCAUGAAGGAUGCAGGAGUUUAAAAAUUGUGCCGGAUAACAUCAAAAUUCUGAAUGAGGACGGCCCCUGGAAAGAGCUGAUAUCUUUCACUCUCUCGCAAGUCUUUUUAAGAACAGCACAAAGAUAUCGAGAUUUAGAUAAACCUCUCAGACGGGAGCCUGGAUAAUCUUUACACUUCGCCUCAAUGACAUUUACUGCCUUCUUACAAUAGCAGUAUUAUAUCAGCUGUGGUUGAUGGAUUGGUUAAACAAUGUUCUUCUGGGAGACUCCAGCAGUGCAAUUGAAUAUGUGAGGCAUCAGAUAUGUUAAAUAA
This is a long non-coding RNA of Carassius gibelio (silver crucian carp), 485 nucleotides long. RefSeq lists it as uncharacterized. The record is from RefSeq and is a predicted model, not a curated record. Lineage: Eukaryota; Metazoa; Chordata; Actinopteri; Cypriniformes; Cyprinidae. The transcript is spliced from 4 exons.